ACGCCGCUCAGAAACUUAAAGGAAUUGACGGGGCCCGCACAAGCGGUGGAGUAUGUGGUUUAAUUCGAUGCAACGCGAAGAACCUUACCUGGUCUUGACAUCCCGGAGACCCUUAGGAAACUAGGGGUGCUUCCAUCUGGAAGAAUCUGGAGACAGGUGCUGCAUGGCUGUCGUCAGCUCGUGUCGUGAGAUGUUGGGUUAAGUCCCGCAACGAGCGCAACCCUUGCCUUUAGUUGCCAGCAGUUCGGCUGGGCACUCUAAAGGGACUGCCGGUGUUAAACCGGAGGAAGGUGGGGAUGACGUCAAGUCCUCAUGGCCUUUAUGACCAGGGCUACACACGUACUACAAUGGCCGAUACAAAGGGCAGCGACACUGCGAGGUGAAGCCAAUCCCGUAAAAUCGGUCUCAGUCCGGAUUGGAGUCUGCAACUCGACUCCAUGAAGUUGGAAUCGCUAGUAAUCGUGGAUCAGCAUGCCACGGUGAAUACGUUCCCGGGCCUU
RNAcentral lists this ribosomal RNA (500 nucleotides) under uncultured Desulfobulbus sp. RNAcentral describes it as "bacterial SSU rRNA". It matches the Rfam family "Bacterial small subunit ribosomal RNA", at positions 886 to 1382 of the family's 1533-position model. The record is from RNAcentral. Lineage: Bacteria; Pseudomonadati; Thermodesulfobacteriota; Desulfobulbia; Desulfobulbales; Desulfobulbaceae.